Ruminococcus sp. CAG:17 is the source of this 118-nucleotide non-coding RNA. The record is from Rfam. Lineage: Bacteria; Bacillati; Bacillota; Clostridia; Eubacteriales; Oscillospiraceae.
AAAUUUCUUCGGGGCAGGGUGCAAUUCCCUACCGGCGGUAUAGUCCGCGACCCGCUUCGGCGGCUGAUCUGGUGAAAUUCCGGAACCGACAGUAAAGUCUGGAUGAGAGAAGAACGCG